RNAcentral lists this ribosomal RNA (699 nucleotides) under uncultured Bacillus sp. Its description in RNAcentral is "bacterial SSU rRNA". It matches the Rfam family "Bacterial small subunit ribosomal RNA", at positions 419 to 1130 of the family's 1533-position model. Lineage: Bacteria; Bacillati; Bacillota; Bacilli; Caryophanales; Bacillaceae. The record is from RNAcentral.
CGGGUUGUAAACUCCUUUUCGGGGGGAAGAUACAGACGGUACCCCCGGAAUAAGCCCCGGCUAACUCCGUGCCAGCAGCCGCGGUAAUACGGAGGGGGCAAGCGUUGUCCGGACUUACUGGGCGUAAAGGGUGCGUAGGCGGUCUUGUGCGUCGGUGCUGAAAGCGCCCGGCUUAACCGGGCGAGGCGUGCCGAUACGAUAAGACUUGAGGGGCAGCGAGGGUGGCGGAACUCCUGGUGUAGUGGUGAAAUGCGUAGAGAUCAGGAAGAACACCCGUGGCGCAAGCGGCCACCUGGCUGCCAACUGACGCUGAGGCACGAGAGCGUGGGGAGCGAACCGGAUUAGAUACCCGGGUAGUCCACGCCGUAAACGAUGUCGACUCGGUGUGCGGGGCGCGAAAGCGCGCUGCGUGCCUAAGCUCACGCGAGAAGUCGACCGCCUGGGGACUACGAGCGCAAGCUUAAAACUCAAAGGAAUUGACGGGGGCCCGCACAAGCAGCGGAGCGUGUGGUUUAAUUCGAAGCAACGCGAAGAACCUUACCAGGUCUUGACAUCCUCUGACACUCCUAGGGAUAGGACGUUCCCCUUCGGGGGACAGAGUGACAGGUGGUGCAUGGUUGUCGUCAGCUCGUGUCGUGAGAUGUUGGGUUAAGUCCCGCAACGAGCGCAACCCUUGUCUUCUGUUGCCAUCGGGUCAAG